GGAGACGAUUUGCGUGGUGACAUUAAUAGUCGUUUGUAUGAACAACAGCACUCCCAAAAUAUAAACCCACGAAAAUUGAUAAGACUUACAUACCUGAAUUUUAUUGCAACCCUAAGUCAGGGCCCGCAUUUUCAACAAUGUAUUGUGAAUCAGCAAAUUACUAAAAAUUUGAAUAAUAAGCCGAAUUGUCGACUAUUUUAUUCCCCAUCCAGAAGCAAGUUAUUUCGAAACAAUAAUGGGAAUGGUAAAAAAUACCUGGGACUAUCUACAAACGCUAUCAGCAGCAUAUCCGUGUGGCUUGAUGGCAAUGCCAUUCGAUGGGAAUGGUGUGCCACCACUAAUGCAGAACGUGGAGAAGCACAGGCGGGCAGGAGUUCACGAAUUCGCAGGAGUUCAAAAAGUCGGACGAGCAGUUCGUGGUUUAGGUGGAGGAAGGAACCUCAGAAGAUGAAGCAGAUGAUAUUCAUGAACUGGAGGAUGCGUUCAACAAACUCGCUCCAAUCCUUUAAUCCUGAUGAUUCCCAUUUUUAGUAACUAAAAAAACAAAAAAGUAAUACAAAUAAUUAUACAAAUUUUUUCCGUUUUGAUCUUACCGCUUGACCAGCACAGACGGCACUGAGCUCUAUAAGGGAUCUCCGUAUGAGGAGGCACAAAAAUAUUGAGAAUCGCCUACUCUUCUGACAUUUUAUGAUUAACCAACACAAAUUUACAAACAUGACUGAAUAAAUUGUGAUUUUAAGCGGAGUUUUAUUCAGUCUAACCCACUGAUUAAUACGACUUCAGUUCCAGAUUCCAAUCGAGCAAAGCCAGAUGCCAGAUGCUGAGCCUCAGAAGCUUCAAGAGACACCCCCAGCAUGCAUAAAGCCAAAGUCCCAGUUUAUGCCCAGGACUCCAGGUAGCUGAAAGGUUCCUGCUGAGGCCAAUGUUUUCUGCAGCAUCUCAUUUGCAGCUUCCUUUAUUAUACCCGGUACUCUUACGAAU
Molecule: long non-coding RNA, 981 nt
Filed under: Drosophila guanche
Lineage: Eukaryota; Metazoa; Arthropoda; Insecta; Diptera; Drosophilidae
Source: RNAcentral